Molecule: ribosomal RNA, 254 nt
Filed under: uncultured bacterium
Lineage: Bacteria
Description: partial 16S ribosomal RNA
Rfam family: Bacterial small subunit ribosomal RNA
Source: RNAcentral
GACAGAGGCCUCGAGCGUUAGGCGGAAUCACUGGGCUUAAAGCGUGCGCAGGCGGUCUGUUAAGACCGAUGUGAAAUCCCCGGGCUUAACCUGGGAACUGCAUUGGUGACUGGCAGGCUUUGAGUGUGGCAGAGGGAGGUAGAAUUCCACGUGUAGUAGUGAAAUGCGUAGAGAUGUGGAGGAAUACCGAUGGCGAAGGCAGCCUCCUGGGCCAACACUGACGCUCAUGCACGAAAGCGUGGGGAGCAAACAGG